This 1332-nucleotide ribosomal RNA is filed under the name Candidatus Kaiserbacteria bacterium RIFCSPLOWO2_01_FULL_53_17. Its description in RNAcentral is "bacterial SSU rRNA". It matches the Rfam family "Bacterial small subunit ribosomal RNA", at positions 200 to 918 of the family's 1533-position model. Lineage: Bacteria; Candidatus Kaiseribacteriota. The record is from RNAcentral.
GUAAAUGGAGCAAUCCGCUCGGGGAGUGGCCUAGGUCCUAUCAGCUAGUUGGUGAGGUAAUGGCUCACCAAGGCGAUGACGGGUAGGGAGUGUGAGAGCAUGAUUCCCAACGAUGGAACUGAGACACGGUCCAUACACCUACGGGUGGCUGCAGUCGAGAAUAUUCCACAAUGGGCGAAAGCCUGAUGGAGCGACGCCGCGUGCAGGAAGAAGGCCUUCGGGUUGUAAACUGCUUUUAACUGGGAGGAAGUCCCGCCCUUUUGGUGUGGAAAAAAUUUCUUUGCCAAAAGGGCGGGAUUGACGGUACCCGUUGAAUAAGACGCUGCAAACUUCGUGCCAGCAGCCGCGGUAAUACGAAGGCGUCAAGCGUUGUCCGGAUUUAUUGGGCGUAAAGGGUCUCCAGUCGGUUCGGUUAGUCGGGCGUUAAAUUCCACCGCCCAACGGUGGAGCCGCGUUCGAAACGGCCGAACUCGAGGUAUAAAGAGGCAAACGGAACGGUAGGUGUAGGGGUGAAAUCCGUUGAUAUCUACCGGAACACCAGAGGCGAAGGCGGUUUGCUGGUUAUAUCCUGACGAUCAUGAGACGAAAGCGUGGGGAGAGAAUGGGAUUGACUGCUUGCAUCGCUGCAAAAAUUUUCAGCGUUGCUGUGGACACUUUCACCGCGGGUGCUACGCAACACGAUUAAGAAAUAUUUUGACUCGACCACGGCCUUUCGGCCGUGGGACUCGGACAAAAAAUAUUUCUUGUGUUGUGCGGCACCCUUGGUUCAGUGUUUCUCACAGCACCGCAAUGAAAAUUUUUACAGGAUACUCGCUUUGAGGUUACUGAAGGUAGUUUCCUUCGGAAGCAUCUAGAGCGGACCGUAGGGGUACGGUGAGCCACUGGUCCCUCCGGCAAGAGUGCCGGAGAAAAACUCCGCUGUAUCGGGGAACAUCCGGUCUGUUGGUUCUUGGUAAUUUGGUAAUAUAGAAAGUCAAGAACUCAACGAAGAGCUGGACAAUCCCGAGGCAACCUGCGAAAGCAGAGAGUCCGUAGAGACUAUACGCGGAGAUCCGAGUAAUAUCGGAUGUGAGAUAGUCCGAACUGCAUGGCGACAUGCAGAGCACGGUAGAAAUACCCGUGCCAGUAGCAAAAUUCGAAAUUCAUAAUUCAAAAUUCUGAAUUCCAAUUUUGUUGCGCGCAACAACAUUGUAGAUACCCCAGUAUUCCACGCCCUAAACGAUGCGCACUCGCUGUGGGAAGUAUCGACCCUUUCCGUGGCUUAGCUAACGCGUUAAGUGCGCCGCCUGGGAAGUACGGCCGCAAGGCUAAAACUCAAAGGAAUAGACGGGA